This 60-nucleotide transfer RNA is filed under the name Staphylococcus aureus MRSN 2761. RNAcentral describes it as "tRNA-Lys". It matches the Rfam family "tRNA", at positions 7 to 64 of the family's 71-position model. From Rfam's summary of the family: Transfer RNA (tRNA) molecules are approximately 80 nucleotides in length. Their secondary structure includes four short double-helical elements and three loops (D, anti-codon, and T loops). Lineage: Bacteria; Bacillati; Bacillota; Bacilli; Caryophanales; Staphylococcaceae. The record is from RNAcentral.
UUAGCUCAGCUGGUAGAGCAUCUGACUUUUAAUCAGAGGGUCAGAGGUUCGAAUCCUCUA